This 344-nucleotide long non-coding RNA is filed under the name Homo sapiens (human). RNAcentral's name for it is "non-protein coding lnc-MTRNR2L6-8:1". Lineage: Eukaryota; Metazoa; Chordata; Mammalia; Primates; Hominidae. The record is from RNAcentral.
AUGAGCAACAGGCUUCUCUGCUGUGUGAUCAUUUGUCUCCUAAGAGCAGGCCUCAAAGAUGCUGUAGUUACACAAUUCCCAAGACACAGAAUCAUUGGGACAGGAAAGGAAUUCAUUCUACAGUGUUCCCAGAAUAUGAAUCAUGUUACAAUGUACUGGUAUCGACAGGACCCAGGACUUGGACUGAAGCUGGUCUAUUAUUCACCUGGCACUGGGAGCACUGAAAAAGGAGAUAUCUCUGAGGGGUAUCAUGUUUCUUGAAAUACUAUAGCAUCUUUUCCCCUGACCCUGAAGUCUGCCAGCACCAACCAGACAUCUGUGUAUCUCUAUGCCAGCAGUUCAUC